Molecule: ribosomal RNA, 464 nt
Filed under: uncultured bacterium
Lineage: Bacteria
Description: partial 16S ribosomal RNA
Rfam family: Bacterial small subunit ribosomal RNA
Source: RNAcentral
GACGAACGCUGGCGGCGUGCUUAACACAUGCAAGUCGAACGGAAAGGCCCUGCUUGCAGGGUACUCGAGUGGCGAACGGGUGAGUAACACGUGGGUGAUCUGCCCUUCACUUCGGGUUAAGCCUGGGAAACUGGGUCUAAUACCCGAUAGGAGCCAUUUUGAGUGCGAUGGUUGGAAAGUUUUUUCGGUGUAGGAUGAGCUCGCGGCCUAUCAGCUUGUUGGUGGGGUAAUGGCCUACCAAGGCGGCGAUGGGUAGCCGGCCUGGGAGGGUGGACGGCCACCUUGGGACUGCGGUACGGCCCAGUCUCCUACGGGAGGCAGCGGUGGGAAAUAUUGCCCAAUGGGCGCACGCCUGAUGCAGCGACGCCGCGUGGGGGAUGACCGCCUUCGGGUUAUAAACUCCUUUCGCUAGGGACGAAGCUUUUGUGACGGUACCUAGAUAAGAAGCACCGGCUAACUACGUG